Molecule: long non-coding RNA, 716 nt
Filed under: Homo sapiens (human)
Lineage: Eukaryota; Metazoa; Chordata; Mammalia; Primates; Hominidae
Description: HSALNT0306702
Source: RNAcentral
AUUCUAGUCAGAGAGCUUGUUUCCUAAGAGGUGCUGCAAUCUUUAGGCAGGGGUGAUGUGGACUCCUUCAAAGAUUUGGGUCAUUGUGAAGGGCAGAAGCAGGUGGCAGACGGAGGACACAUUCCAUGGUUUCUGACAUUCCUCCAUUACAAUAACUCUGUCUACUACAUGUUGCAAUUCCAGAUAUCAUAUCAUAUAAUCAUCUCAACUCCAAAUAUGACGUUGGCACUGUUAUUUCCAUUUUACAAAUGAAGAGAUGAGGUUGAGAGGUAUCGUUUAUUAUCUUGGCCUAUAAGUACAUGGAAGAGUUGGAAUUCGAACUGAGAGCCAGGAUAUGAACUUACAAGUGCCUUGCUUUAGCACUGCCUGUCCCAGAAGGAUUGUACCUUUCUGCUUCUCCAGAAACUAACUAAAGAUUUUCUCACCUGCUGAGAGUUGAGGAUGUUGCUUCAGGCAUGUUCAGACUUCUGGAGGGGAGCAUUGACCUGAAACCACAGUGGGCUAAUAACAGUAACUUCCAAAAUUGAAGACUGAACCACAGCAGUCAAACUUAUCAACCUUUUGAUCAAAACCGGUGACUAAAAGGAAUAUGAAACCUGUGAUACAGUUUCAGAAAACCUUAUUUCAAAUCUUAUUCAUAUUAACAUGGCCACUGUCACAUGUGCUGAAAAUUGGUUGAGAGACCGUAAAUAAAAUGAACUGUUAUUCUGCAAUAA